AUUGAACGCUGGCGGCAGGCUUAACACAUGCAAGUCGAGCGGGGGAAGGUAGCUUGCUACUGGACCUAGCGGCGGACGGGUGAGUAAUGCUUAGGAAUCUGCCUAUUAGUGGGGGACAACAUCUCGAAAGGGAUGCUAAUACCGCAUACGUCCUACGGGAGAAAGCAGGGGAUCUUCGGACCUUGCGCUAAUAGAUGAGCCUAAGUCGGAUUAGCCAGUUGGUGGGGUAAAGGCCUGCCAAGGCGACGAUCUGUAGCGGGUCUGAGAGGAUGAUCCGCCACACUGGGACUGGGACACGGCCCAGACUCCUACGGGAGGCAGCAGUGGGGAAUAUUGGACAAUGGGGGGAACCCUGAUCCAGCCACGCCGCGUGUGUGAAGAAGGCCUUAUGGUUGUAAAGCACUUUAAGCGAGGAGGAGGCUACUCUAGUUAAUACCUAGGGAUAGUGGACGUUACUCGCAGAAUAAGCACCGGCUAACUCUGUGCCAGCAGCCGCCGUAA
This 501-nucleotide ribosomal RNA is filed under the name uncultured bacterium. RNAcentral's name for it is "partial 16S ribosomal RNA". It matches the Rfam family "Bacterial small subunit ribosomal RNA", at positions 30 to 523 of the family's 1533-position model. The record is from RNAcentral.